Molecule: ribosomal RNA, 578 nt
Filed under: Uronema heteromarinum
Lineage: Eukaryota; Ciliophora; Oligohymenophorea; Philasterida; Uronematidae
Description: partial small subunit ribosomal RNA
Rfam family: Bacterial small subunit ribosomal RNA (bases 1-490)
Source: RNAcentral
AAUUUGUUCGAACGGUGGAACAUGUGGUUUAAUGCGAUAAUCCACGUAAAAUCUUACCAAUAUUUAUAAUUAAAGGGUAUUAAAAAAAUAGAAUUUUAUUAAUUGUCUUUAAUUUCGGUGUUGCAUGGCUGUCGUCAGUUCGUGUUGUGAAAUGUAAAAUUAAGUUUUAUUUACGAACGCAACCUAUAAUAUAUUGUAAUUUUAAUGUAUAUUUUAAAUAUAUAUUAGAUUUUAAUAUAUUUAUUUUUUUUUAAAUAGGUUUUAGCUGAAGUCAAGUCCUUAUGGCCUUUAUAUAUUGGGCUACACACGUGUUACAAUGGCAAAAACAAAAAGAAACAAUUAUGUGAAUAAGAGUAAAUCUUAAAAAAUUGCCGUAGUUUGGAUUAUUUUAUGUAACUCUAAAAUAUGAAAAUGAAAUCGUUAGUAAUUAUAAGUUAGUAUAUUAUAAUGAAUUAUAAGUCAAAUUUUGCACACACUGCCCAUCACGCUCGAAAAAUUUUGUAAAGUUGAAAAUAAAAUAUAAUUAAAAUUAGGUUUAAUUUUAAAGUUAUGUUUGUUGUAGCUUUAUUAAGUGAUUU